This 345-nucleotide ribosomal RNA is filed under the name uncultured bacterium. RNAcentral's name for it is "bacterial SSU rRNA". It matches the Rfam family "Bacterial small subunit ribosomal RNA", at positions 8 to 334 of the family's 1533-position model. The record is from RNAcentral.
AGAGUUCGAUCAUGGCUCAGGACGAACGCUGGCGGCGCGCCUAACACAUGCAAGUCGAACGGAGCUUUGAAGCGGAAGUUUUCGGAUGGAAGCAUUAAAGCUUAGUGGCGGACGGGUGAGUAACACGUGAGCAACCUGCCUUUCAGAGGGGGAUAACGUUUGGAAACGAACGCUAAUACCGCAUAACGUAUAACUGUGGCAUCACGGAUAUACCAAAGGAGGAAUCCGCUGAGAGAUGGGCUCGCGUCCGAUUAGAUAGUUGGCGGGGUAGAGGCCCACCAAGUCGACGAUCGGUAGCCGGACUGAGAGGUUGAACGGCCACAUUGGGACUGAGACACGGCCCAG